This 68-nucleotide small RNA is filed under the name Salmonella enterica. Its description in RNAcentral is "partial RtT sRNA". It matches the Rfam family "RtT RNA", at positions 1 to 68 of the family's 130-position model. Rfam says of the family: This family represents a bacterial cis-regulatory element known as RtT RNA. The exact function of RtT is unknown although it is thought that it may be involved in changing the cellular response in relation to amino acid starvation. RNAcentral also lists the same sequence under 1 other name. The record is from RNAcentral. Lineage: Bacteria; Pseudomonadati; Pseudomonadota; Gammaproteobacteria; Enterobacterales; Enterobacteriaceae.
AUAUCUCUCCGUACGGGAAGGAUGAGAAGCUUCGACCAAGGUUCGAUUCGAGCGCAGCGAGAAAGCGU